Panicum virgatum (switchgrass) is the source of this 4544-nucleotide long non-coding RNA. RefSeq lists it as uncharacterized. The record is from RefSeq and is a predicted model, not a curated record. Lineage: Eukaryota; Viridiplantae; Streptophyta; Magnoliopsida; Poales; Poaceae. The transcript is spliced from 5 exons.
ACAGCGGCAUUGGCAGACCGAAAAUCACCCUCGCUCGAGUGCAUUCCGACGGAGAAAAAAAAAGUUUGGGAGACCGACGCUUUCUCUACCCGCUUCUGUACCCGCCGUGCGAUUGCCUUCGUUCAUGCGCAGCUCGCGCAACGAAUUAGGGAGUUUGAUUGCCUUCCAUAUUCACCUGCAAUCACGGAAGGGAAGCCUGCAGCGGAGGGUGGGUUCCUCCUUUGGUGCCUCUCCAUGAUUCCUCCCUGCAAUUACGCACAGCAUGCAGCGGAGGGUGGGUUCCUCCUUCAUUGCUGCCUCUCCAUGAUUCCUCCCUGCAAUUACGCGUCGGCAUCCUCGCAACGUCGUGACGCCUGGCGCAGGCUCCCAUUUUACUUUCUUUUGCUCAUGCUGCCUGGCGCUGCUGCCCGUGCGAGGAGGGCGAAGACGCCCAGCGCUGCUCCCCUACUUCCCCUCCCCGGCGCCCCUCCUCUUUCCUUCCCCGUCGCGCCGUGCCCCGCGGAGUCCUCCUCGACGCCGUCGUCACCGCCGCCGCGACGUCCUCGGGGUCCUCCUCGCCGUCGUCGUCGCCGAAGCCGACGGCCGCCGUGUCGUGCCCCGUGGGCUCGUCCUCGCCAUCGCCGUCGGUCGCCGCGCCGGCUCGCGAUGCAGCGUCUACUGCGACGACCGGCAGGGAUUGUGCAUGCCCCUCUCUCUCUCACCCUUCCUCUCGGUGGUGUGUAUACAGGGGCGGAGUCAGGAAUUUAUUUUUUUCAUUAUUAAGGGAGGCCAACCAUACUAAUUUAUAUAAAAAAUUAAUCAAAAUUUAAAUUUCCAAUGUAAAUUUGGGAGCCAUAGGGGGACCAGGCCCCUACCCGCCCCCGUCUACGCCCCUGUGUGUAUGCUUGAUCGUAGCGGAGGCUGGGUUAAUCUUACUGGAUGGCCUCUAACGAAUUGAAAGUUCGGUGUAACUGAUGCAGAUCGUGUCGCCGUGCCUUGUGUUUACUGAUUCAUGGAUAUCCUGAUUAGUUCUGUGUAUUUAGUGUAGAUUUUUUAUUUGAGUCAUGCAUUUGAAAGCAUUGCUAUCGAAAUUUUGAACAUUGGAAAAUAGGUAUUAUCGCCAUCGUUUACUUUCCUAUAUUUUUGUCUUUAGUCGAGCUGCAUGAAUAUAUGUGGAUAACUUGUGUAUGCCUUCAGACACAUAUACGAUCUGCAAGUGCAAAAGGCUAAGGCCUGCAGCAUUUUUACAUGCGAGUUGUGAUUGUAGACAUGUCAUAUAAGUGUUUCAUUUAAGUCAUAUUUGUCACACUAACUAUAUUAUCCGUUUGAGAUCCUUUCCUGCUGGAUUUGUAUCCAGUAUUCUAGGGGGCUGAGGUUCAUUAAUAUUUUUAGUACAAGCAUAAGUCUGGAAAGGGAAAAAAGCGAACUAAUCUCUGCAUGGGAAAAUAUUUGACAAUUACAAAUACUAGGCAAUGCCAUCUUUUAAGUUGUAGGAUUAUUUUUUACAUUGUCAGUUUCAUAUGCUAUAUUUAGCUGUAGCUCUUGUGAAUAUUAAUGGAUUCCCUUCCUUUACUCCUUUAGAGAUCAAAAAAAAAUCUUGUUCGUGCUGCUUGGCAGGCAGGUGAGAAAAGCAGCAAGGUAGCAAUUUUCAUAAAACAUUUCGUUGACUCCCAUGUUAUUGUAUAGAUUCAGGUUUCAUUAUGAACAGUUUAUUUCUCUAUGAAUAAUCUGGAACGGAAAAAAUUACUAAUUUGUUAUGCAAGUGGAACAUGCCACCUGUGUUGGAUAGCCUAUGCUCCACUAGGUUAGGAGUUAAAAUAGUUAUCUUCUGGGAUCUUUAAUAUCUACUAAAAUUAUAUAAAUGGUAUAUUUCCUUUGGUGACUAUGUUUUUUUUUGCUAAAGUCAGAUUACUAAUGAAUGGCUAUUUUUAGGGACUAUUAAAUCUUGCUUGUGGUUACUAAUGAAUUUAUGUUUAUGCUUAGAUGGCAGAGCACUUGGCUGACCGCUAAGAUUUCUUCAAGCAUCAGAGAGAUGCUCUGAAGAGACAUACAUGCAGGUUCUUGGUGAUCAGCAACAAGCAUGAAGAAAGUUCAGACCGGCUUAUUAACACACUGAUCAGCUGUCACAGGUAACCCUGCUCAGUUUCUGUUGGCUAGAAGAUUGCUUACCUAGGUAACCCUUGUUCUAAGCAGUUAUUGAAUAAGGUCAGGACGUCACAUUGAGUCAACUGGACUUGUAGUAUUUCUCUCAUAUCAUUACAAAAAUAUUGAUCAAAAUUUAGAGUAAUACUUCUCUAAGGUUAUUGUGAAAUAUUUCUUUGUCUGAAAAUUACUUUUUGUUGCCCUGCAUUGAGAUUAUCAUCGUUAGCAAUUUAUCAUGUGUUCAUCCAGGAAAGCAAUGUACAACUGAUGCAAUUUGAUAUCAUACUAUUGGGUGGUGCUAAGUGAAACCAAUUGGAAGUUUUGAGCUUGUGAUUCAAAAGGAAGUAGUCUUUCUGUAGGGGACAAAACUUUGUGAUUCCACUUAACGUGGUUAAUGAUAUUGCAAUCCAUAUUUUGUAUCUUGUUUGAGCACUGCAUAUUUUGCAUUGCAGAUGUGUCUUCAACUUCUUUCAGUGAGCCACUACUGAUUGAGUUUGUGAGGAAGAUUCUGGGCAAAGAGCCAAAGAUCGAGUGUAUUUAGAAAUUUUACUCGUACUCAUUUUUAUGUUGAUCAGUGUGUUAAACUAGAGAGAGAGAGAGAGAGAGAGAGAGAGGGAGAGGGAGAGGGAGAGAGAGAUUUUGAAAAAAGAGGAGUUGACACUACAAAGGUUGUGCAGGGAAGGAACAUGUAGCAUCCUCUAUCAUUUUGUUUGAAAUUUUGUCAAUUGUGCUUCCUAUAAAUGAAAAAAUUUCAUGUACCUACUGCAUCAUAUUCUAUAAUUACUCACUGUAAAACCUGACAUAUUUUGAUAGGCCACUGUCCUACUUCAAGUUGUUUGGGGAUAAUGGCUCUGUUUUGUAUUACAAUCCUUAUUCUGAACAUUGGAGCUUCAGUUAUUUUCAUAGCAGCCAUAUAUAUGGGAUGGCAAUUUGUAAUCAUAGACAAACUGAAUUAUUUUUUAUUUAGUAAUUUAAAAUAGAAAAAACAGUAUUAGCUGUGUAAUAAGUGUUUGUCUUGUCCUUGUUUCAAGUAUGCAGAAUGAAGAGUUCAUGUGUUCAAUGUUUUGAGGGAGGCAAUUUGACAAACCUAUGUUGCAACCACACUUCUGUUUCAUGUGCUAAUUGAAGAGCUCAUGGCUUCGGCGCGGGGGCCGAGUUCCACAGGCAAAAGAACGUGCAAAUGCCCUCCUGGACAAGUGGGCCGGCACGCCGCCACCGCUCAAAGCUAGGAAGGUGAACAUUGGAAGCUCCUAUUUUUAAUGAAGCCAUUAAGGAUUUAAUUUGAAGAACAUCAGUAUGUUUUAAGGUCAAUAAUCAGUAAAUCAGCCAUAUAGCUUCUUUAAAUUCUCAAAAUUACUUUAAAGAAGAUCAACUACUGGCACUCCUGGUGGUAUGAGGUAUGAGUUUCAGAUGAUUUUGUUGUUGUUUAAGAGUGUGCUACAUUUGUUUCAUAUGUGAACUUUCUGAAGAAAUCAUCAUUAAAAUUUUGGAUUCAGAAAUUAUAUGAAUUGAAAGUGUACAUAUCACCUGUUAUUUUCCCAAACAUAUGCAGAAUAGAGACCUUGCAGAUUCAGUAAUGGAACUCGAGUUCAAUAAUGAAGUGUGUGACAGUGCAAAUUUUAAAACUGUCCCCAUUUUUGUUCUUGGUGUUCUUGGUUCACACCAUUACAAAACUGAUUUGUCAUGUUUUCUAUGGAUCAGAUGCUUGUUAUGUCACUUGUUACCAAUGAGGAAUAGGGGUUCCUGUACGCAAUGACAGAUAUGCGAACUGCAAGUUUCUAUAUCAUUUUUGCUAUUUAUUUUCUGUUAAGAGGAAUUGAACAUUCAGAUGAUAUUUGAUCAUGACCAUUUUACGUGAGAUUGCUUCAGCUGCUUGUAUUAGCUUGUGCAUUGGCUGAGCUUACAUGGCCUAAAUAUUGCAAGAGGAGGCAAAUUUUCAGGGGACAAGUAUGAGAAAUCAGCAGUCAUCACUCCUUACUAGUGACAUGCAUUCACAAGCAAUCAGCAGUUAUCAGGUACAUACAUCUAGUUCAUCUUGGUCAUCCUCCGAGGACUCAUCAUCAGAUGAAUCACUGUCAUCCUCAUGUUUCCUUUUGCUUGGCAAAACAUCCAACAGUUCUGUAACAAGGACAAAAUGAGGAAGUUUAUUGAGUAGCUCAGAAAAACAAAAGAUGUGCAGCACUCCCAGGAAACCUACAUGCUUUGCAGCGUGCAGUUUAACGUAUGUAAAGUGUAGGAGUAGCUUAUAAUAAUGUAACAAAUGAAUUGUGAAUGAGCAUGUAGGUACCUCUAUUCCCCUUGAUGGACUUCGGAUCCUUCUUCUCCUUGGCUAUCCCAAAAACAUCAAAGCAUAGGUCUGCCAUUGAUGUUGAAACCUGCAAUCAGAACUGAAAGUCAUAAAAGAGUAUAUAUACAGUACACAA